Molecule: ribosomal RNA, 764 nt
Filed under: uncultured bacterium
Lineage: Bacteria
Description: bacterial SSU rRNA
Rfam family: Bacterial small subunit ribosomal RNA
Source: RNAcentral
AGAGUUUGAUCAUGGCUCAGAUUGAACGCUGGCGGUAUGCUUAACACAUGCAAGUCGAACGCGAACGUACCUUCGGGUGCUAUUAGAGUGGCGGACGGGUUAGUAACGCGUAGGAAUCUACCCAGUAGCGGGGGACAACAUGUGGAAACGCAUGCUAAUACCGCAUACGCCCUUCGGGGGAAAGACUUCGGUCACUAUUGGAUGAGCCUGCGUAAGAUUAGCUAGUUGGUAGGGUAAUGGCCUACCAAGGCGACGAUCUUUAGCUGGACUGAGAGGUCGAACAGCAACACUGGGACUGAGACACGGCCCAGACUCCUACGGGAGGCAGCAGUGGGGAAUAUUGGACAAUGGGCGAAAGCCUGAUCCAGCAAUACCGCGUGUGUGAAGAAGGCCUGCGGGUUGUAAAGCACUUUCAGAUGGGAAGAUAAUGACGUUACCAUCAGAAGAAGCACCGGCUAACUCUGUGCCAGCAGCCGCGGUAAUACAGAGGGUGCAAGCGUUAAUCGGAAUUACUGGGCGUAAAGCGCGCGUAGGCGGCUUAGUCAGUCAGAUGUGAAAGCCCCGGGCUCAACCUGGGAACUGCAUUUGAUACUGCUUAGCUAGAGUAUGGUAGAGGGAAGUGGAAUUUCAGGUGUAGCGGUGAAAUGCGUAGAUAUCUGAAGGAACAUCAGUGGCGAAGGCGACUUCCUGGACCAAUACUGACGCUGAGGUGCGAAAGCGUGGGGAGCGAACAGGAUUAGAUACCCUGGUAGUCCACGCCGUAA